Chinchilla lanigera (long-tailed chinchilla) is the source of this 648-nucleotide long non-coding RNA. RefSeq lists it as uncharacterized. The transcript is spliced from 4 exons. NCBI's taxonomy places the organism in Eukaryota, Metazoa, Chordata, Mammalia, Rodentia, Chinchillidae. The record is from RefSeq and is a predicted model, not a curated record.
AAAGAAUUUACUUGAUUUUCAUGAUUUGAAAUAGUGGUAUUUCAGUCAUUUGGCCAAUGAUUCACCUUUAAAAGCCUUGUCAGGUUGAAUUUCUUCUGUGAAAAUAGCUGACUGAAAUACAUUUAGAGAUUUUUGAUUUCUCCAAAAUUCAGUGGCUUAGAAUGGCAACAGCAAGGUUAGCUGGUCUCCACCUCCUGGUAUCCAGGCCUUUGCCAGGAUGACAUGAAGGCUGGGAUUUCCUUCGUCAGCAGGCAUCUUCGCUCACAUGCUGGAAGGUUUUCUUCAGUCUCCUCCAGUUACUCUGUGGAGAAGGCUCUUGUUUCUUCCUGUGAACCAAGGAGGAGAUGGACCCAGGCUCCGUUUCAGUUCCUCUGCUGCAUCUAUAGGUGUUUGUAUUGGAUGUGUCACCCUUCUUCCCAAAAUAUUUUCCUCUUUUGAAUUUCCUGUUUCAUACGCAGUAUAGGGUGGAAACCUAGUCAUUAAGAGCCCUUUCUAUCAUGUUGUUCUGACUUCUUUUCUGUUUCCUCUAUUUAAUCCAUAUCACAUUAUAUAAAUCUCUAAGAACCAUGAUUUUGGAAUAUAACUCAGUGGCACAGUACCUGCCUAGAAAGUGCAAGUUCCUGAGUUUGAUUCCUGGUACAAAAAACA